AACUGCGAUAAGUAGCGUGAAUUGCAGACGCUUUGAACGUUAAACUUUCGAACGCACAUCGCGCCGUAGGAGUCCUACCCUGCGGCACAUCUGGUUGAGGGUCGUGAUCAAAAACAGCAGGACUAUGGCCGUAAUAGAAAUAGCUGGUGAAUCACGAGUUCGGCCUACCGCCUCUGGCUGAACGUGUUUUGCCAUAAUGCUAGAAGAGGACAAUCGCUCGCAAGAGAGAUUGCCUACCACACGGAUGAUCUAUUAGCUGAAGCAAUAGGUCUCGGUCACCGGGUAUCAUGCUUAACUAUAUACUCUGUGGCGUCUGAGAUACAGCUAGUGGGCUUCAUACGUGCCUGGUAUUGAGAGUAUUCGCUCUCCCGACCUCAACUCAGGUGUGAUUACCCGCUGAACUUAAGC
Molecule: unclassified non-coding RNA, 408 nt
Filed under: plant metagenome
Description: partial contains 5.8S ribosomal RNA, internal transcribed spacer 2, and large subunit ribosomal RNA
Rfam family: 5.8S ribosomal RNA (bases 1-104)
Source: RNAcentral